UUCUUUUCCCCAUGGAUACUUUGGUUCCUGUUGGUUGCCUCCUUUCUCAUUUCCUGCCUUUAUUUUUCUAGGCAAAGCUUCAGUGCCCGAGGAGGUUGUGGAUUUUGAGUAUCAAGAACAGUGAAGUUGGAGCUACCAGAGGAUGUAUGAAAGACGAUGCAGAUCAUAAGGAAGACUGAUGGAGAAAAGUAACAACGUGAUUCAGGCACACCAGUGAGUUCUUGGGGAUGCACAAAAGUGUCCGGUUGAGAAACUUAUGAUAUACAAGACAAGACCCUGCCUCAGGAAGCGUACAUGAGAAUAAUUUUAAAGGAACCUUUUGGUAGAUGCAAAACAAUAGCAGUCCAAGGUGAUGGAAAUGUACUGGAACAGUGGGAGAAACUGGUAGCAUAUAGGAAGCCAAGAUGACAAGAAUUUUUUCAAAUAAUCCGUGAGUAAAUUUUUAUGAGCACUUUGAAAUUAUUUUAACUAACAGGUGAAUUGUUUUUAAGACAUACUGU
This 500-nucleotide long non-coding RNA is filed under the name Urocitellus parryii (Arctic ground squirrel). RNAcentral's name for it is "lncRNA (ENSUPAG00010021455.1)". Lineage: Eukaryota; Metazoa; Chordata; Mammalia; Rodentia; Sciuridae. The record is from RNAcentral.